AGUACAGAGAGAGAGAACUUGAGAACAAGGUUUUACAGAAAAGGUGAGAAAUGUAUAUGAUUGAUGGGCAGAACAUCUCAAGAGGAGAGGUGAGAAAAGAGGUUGCCAUGGGACCAAAAUAAGAUCCAGGCCAUGUUGUAUCCAGGCCAAGUCUAAUGAUAUCAUCGAAUGUGUUAAGGAUCAUGCCAUUGAACAACAAUGUUCAGGAAAGAGAAACUGAGAGAGUGAGACGUUCAGUUGACCAAAAGACUUUAUUGACAUGAGGGUUAAAUGAUCGCCCUCCAGUGGUCAGGCUCAUAGUCCCAGUCACAGUGAUUUUCUAUAAUAAGAUCAGAAAAUGAAAACAAGAGAACAUGAAGCCAUCAUGGCACCAAUUUAUUGAACUCAUGGAUAGGAAUAAUGUGUUUCCAGUAACUGAGAAGCAUUCAAUAUCCAUUCAACAGAAUUUAUAAAUACACAUAAUAAAAACAUGUGAAGGUGAGUCAUAUCUUGUGUUUCUUAUUUCUUAAAGAUUUUUCCUUAUGCUUGUUUCACAUUUCCUAAGUCACACUUUCAUAUUCCAUUUCUCUCCAUAUCAUGCAUGUAUAUCUGACACGCCUUCUGUUACAUUUGAUCUCUAUCUACUGUGAAAUCCGAGCAUCUUGACUUUGUCAAAAUAACCUGUAGAUAUUAAAGCAGAGAUGGGUUUGCUUUGAGAUGCUGGAGAGAUUAUCUCUGACACGGAGCGGUGUGGCGUCUUUGUAGGGAAAACAAAUGGAAAACAUCCUCAAGAGACACGACUGGAAUCCCGUCGGAAUUCAAUCCGGCACUUCAGAGUCAUGCUGGGAAUGUAAAUUUCAUACAGAAUCACUCAGGGUCUGCUUGCAUUGGACAAUCCAGUGUGCUAUAUAUCCCAAUUACAGAGGCGCUUAUAGACAAAUUGCCUGAUGAAUGCCACAGCAGUGAAUGAUGAGAUGGUUGGAUUUUGUGACCA
Paramisgurnus dabryanus is the source of this 973-nucleotide long non-coding RNA. RefSeq lists it as uncharacterized. The record is from RefSeq and is a predicted model, not a curated record. NCBI's taxonomy places the organism in Eukaryota, Metazoa, Chordata, Actinopteri, Cypriniformes, Cobitidae.